Long non-coding RNA from Homarus americanus (American lobster), 530 nucleotides. RefSeq lists it as uncharacterized. The transcript has 3 exons. The record is from RefSeq and is a predicted model, not a curated record. Lineage: Eukaryota; Metazoa; Arthropoda; Malacostraca; Decapoda; Nephropidae.
AUCGCACACCAGAAUCAUUAUUAGUAAUGCUAAUUUUUUUAUGUGUAUAGGAAAUAAAUGAAAAUAAUGUUAAGUAUCGGUUAUUAAUCUUAAUUUAUCUCACUUUCCAGACAAUGUAAUGGAUAAAAUCGCCCUCAUAGCAACCAAACAAGUGACUAACCCUGUGUUGACCUGACCUGACCUGCUUCUCUCCAUGACCUUUGAAGAAAAAAAAUCCAACAUGGUUCUCACAAAUACCUGUCUAACCCUACAUGACCCGGUAGACGAUGGUAGAGUGUCCUUCGUCAGAUAACUUCCUGCCGGGUCCUCUCAUCUCCCCUUCAGAUAGCUUCAGUUACUGGUGAAGGUCUGAGGUCUUCAUUACUUCCCAGGCCACACCGGGUCACCUGAUGAUGUUUGACGAGGGAACUGGGCGAAUGAAAAGGAAUUCAACUCACCGUCAAAUAUCACACUCCGACAUUGAUCCUGUCUGGCCAACCGAAGUGAACUGUGACGUCAUCGGUCGACAUUCAUAUACAAGGUAUUGUUGA